This is a non-coding RNA of Struthio camelus australis, 1295 nucleotides long. Lineage: Eukaryota; Metazoa; Chordata; Aves; Struthioniformes; Struthionidae. The record is from RefSeq and is a predicted model, not a curated record.
AAUAAAAGUAGCACUGGUACAUUACAUUUAAUUAGCAUCCAAACUAAAGAUCCCGAACACCCUGCAAGCAAUUUCCAUGCGGGAAACAUUUUGCCUGACAAGCGAGCGCAGCCAGUUCUGACGGGGAGCGGAGCAGCUCUUCCACGGGGACAGGACGGGGGAGAGGACACAAAUUCAACCCGAGGGGCUCCGAGCAGAACUGUUCUCGACCGUGGAAGACCUAAAGUACCUAAUGAUGUCUACUUAGCAUUUUUGGAAGCAAAGAAAAACUUGGGAGACUAUGGGACAAAUUACAUCCUCAAGUGCGCUAAAGUAAACCAGGAUAAAACCUAACAGAGAUGCUGAGCUGUAGCAAUUUAACCAGAUAGAGAAAUGUCGUCACCCUAUUGAAUUUAGAAAUGACCCACCUUCAUCUCACUCAGAGGUGAACUAAAGCAACAUCAGGAGCAGGAAGAACUCAUCCCUGUAGGAUUUAACAACCCAGAUAGCUCACAACACCCAUGCUCUGCAGCUACACAUGAGGGAUCUUACACGGGCAGCCGACCAGGGCUGGCCCUCUACUAAACAAGGAUGAUGAGACUUGGACUCCAGCAAACUCGGAUGGAAAGUAGUGGUCUCAGAAAAAGUAUCUUCUUGACCUCAGCAGUUUGGAUCAGGUCCAGUUUUCAGGUAUGAGCAGCUGAAGGCAGCUCCAAAGCCUCCUGAAAUCGUGACUACAGCGGGAUAUAGCAGUACGGCCCAAAAGGAGUGGCUCUCUUGAGCAAAUCAGUUGGUGCUGAGUAUCCAACUUGGCCCCGCGGAACUGGAUCACUCCACUAGGUGAAGCAAAGCAUUGCAAUGGGGAUGCUCAGAUUACGGCUUCAAAAUCACAAUUCUGCUGUGAGCUGAAACGCUGAUGUAUGCACAUCCUGCAAGGUUUGCAUUUAUGGCCUUAAAGACCACUGAAGAAGCGAAAAAGUCCAUUUUAUCCAGCUAAGUGUGCUGCACCCUACAUGUACUGUUCUAUUUAGUAAGGUACAAAGACAUAUGCAGUUACAAAUGCAACAUUUUCGCUGAUUACAUUCAUUCAUACUGUACAACGGAGUUUGUUUAGAAUGAGCAAAACUCAAGAACAGUCAGGAUUCAGGCAGUGGCAGCUUUAAAUCUACUCAUUCAACCAAAUGAAGUGUUUUCCCUUAAAGACUUUUGUGUGACACCAUCACUCAGAAAAGAGACCUUCUGACCACUCCUCCAAAAGGUUAUCAGGAUCUUGAAAUUGCCCUUAGCUUUACGGAAGGGAAUACCUUCGCGCAGAA